GUGGGGAAUAUUGGACAAUGGGGGGAACCCUGAUCCAGCCAUGCCGCGUGUGUGAAGAAGGCCUUUUGGUUGUAAAGCACUUUAAGCGAGGAGGAGGCUACCGAGAUUAAUACUCUUGGAUAGUGGACGUUACUCGCAGAAUAAGCACCGGCUAACUCUGUGCCAGCAGCCGCGGUAAUACAGAGGGUGCAAGCGUUAAUCGGAUUUACUGGGCGUACAGCGCGCGUAGGUGGCCAAUUAAGUCAAAUGUGAAAUCCCCGAGCUUAACUUGGGAAUUGCAUUCGAUACUGGUUGGCUAGAGUAUGGGAGAGGAUGGUAGAAUUCCAGGUGUAGCGGUGAAAUGCGUAGAGAUCUGGAGGAAUACCGAUGGCGAAGGCAGCCAUCUGGCCUAAUACUGACACUGAGGUGCGAAAGCAUGGGGAGCAAACAGGAUUAGAAACCCCAGUAGUCC
RNAcentral lists this ribosomal RNA (451 nucleotides) under uncultured bacterium. Its description in RNAcentral is "partial 16S ribosomal RNA". It matches the Rfam family "Bacterial small subunit ribosomal RNA", at positions 354 to 796 of the family's 1533-position model. The record is from RNAcentral.